RNAcentral lists this unclassified non-coding RNA (520 nucleotides) under Hevea brasiliensis (rubber tree). The record is from RNAcentral. Lineage: Eukaryota; Viridiplantae; Streptophyta; Magnoliopsida; Malpighiales; Euphorbiaceae.
AAAUUUUUAAAGGAGGAAAAAAUAUCCGCACGUGUAAAGUAUAUAGUAAAUUAAAAUGGUCCCCUGAAUCAGAUUCCUAAUUGGAGCGCAAUUAUGGGCUAAGAAUGUGGCUUUAAAAGCUCUCUGUUGGUGAAUGGCCAAUCACAAACUGUCCAAUUUUCUGUAUAAUACCUAUUCAAAUCUUGAAUUUCUUUCCCUUCUUUCUCCACCCACUGAAAUAUUCUUCUUAUCUUAUGUAUCUAAACAACCAUGGAUUCUAACGUUAAGAUUCCAUCAUCAGUUCCAUCCAAUACGACACCAGAAAAUGAACCCAGUUGAGCUUCGUACGUCCUUAGAAUUUCGGUGAGUAGCCUUUCACAUCAUGCAAUAACUAGUAUAUAUAUGUGUGUCCUUUGAAUCAAAAUUUCAAGGCCUUCGUACUGGUGCACAGUGUACCUUUUGCUAGCACCCACGAGGGCAAAACUUUAAAUACUGUAUACUGGCAUAUGAAGAAGUUCUUGUAUAUAUAUAUAUAUUAUGA